This 472-nucleotide ribosomal RNA is filed under the name Eurhadina (Singhardina) sp. 7 ZM-2012. RNAcentral's name for it is "partial 16S ribosomal RNA". The stretch from base 349 to 472 matches the Rfam family "Bacterial large subunit ribosomal RNA", at positions 2473 to 2597 of the family's 2925-position model. The record is from RNAcentral. Lineage: Eukaryota; Metazoa; Arthropoda; Insecta; Hemiptera; Cicadellidae.
AAAUUCUGCCCUAUGAAUAUUUAAAUGGCUGCAGUAUUUUAACUGUACAAAGGUAGCAUAAUAAUUAGUUUUUUAAUUGAGGACUGGAAUGAAAGAUUUAAUGAGAAAUUUAUUUUAUUAUUUUUAAUUUUUAAAUUUUAUUUUUAGGUAAAAAAUCUUAUUUUUUUUUUUGGGACGAAAAGACCCUAUAGAACUUUAUUUAAUUGAUUUUAAUUUUUAUAAAUGUAAAAUUGUUAUUUUUUUUUAAUUUUUGUUGGGGUGAUAAAUAAAAUAAUCUUUAUUUUAUAAGUUCAUUAAUUUGUGAUUAUCAUGAUUUAAAUUUUAGUUAUAAGAUUAAGUUACCUUAGGGAUAACAGCGUAAUUUUUAUGGGGAGUUCCUAUCUAUAUAAAAGUUUGCGACCUCGAUGUUGAAUUAAGAUAAAUUAAUGAAGGAGUAUUUAUUAAAUUAAGUCUGUUCGACUUUUAAAUUCUU